This is a small nucleolar RNA of Tachyglossus aculeatus (Australian echidna), 138 nucleotides long. NCBI's taxonomy places the organism in Eukaryota, Metazoa, Chordata, Mammalia, Monotremata, Tachyglossidae. The record is from RefSeq and is a predicted model, not a curated record.
AGCCUCUCAACGUCGCACCUGGAGAGUUUCCAGUACUCUACCAGUCUCGACUACGGGAGGGAGAGUCAAGCAGAGGCCUAACCACUCCACUCCUAGCUUGGCCAGUGGCUAGUGAGUGGAAGGCAAUCUGCUACAAGU